RNAcentral lists this long non-coding RNA (290 nucleotides) under Elaeis guineensis (African oil palm). Its description in RNAcentral is "long non-coding RNA (EGUI_LNC049410)". The record is from RNAcentral. Lineage: Eukaryota; Viridiplantae; Streptophyta; Magnoliopsida; Arecales; Arecaceae.
GAGCCCAAUAUACAAACAUCCUUAAGGUGAUCCGGUAGAGUACCACAUCAGUCAGACAUAUACCUAGGUUUCUUGAUCCAGGAUGGAGAUCCUGUUGAGCUUGAUGAGAACAAUGAGGAUCCAGUCACCUAUAUAGAUAUAAUGCAGAGGUCUGACUUUGAGAAAUGGUUAGAAGCUAUAAAAUCUAAAAUAAAGUCCAUGAAGAUCAAUAAUGUGUAGACAUUGGUUGAUCCAUCUGAAGGGAUAAAAUCCAUAGGAUGUAAGUGGGUCUUCAAAAGGAAAAGGGGCAC